AUUGAACGCUGGCGGCAUGCCUUACACAUGCAAGUCGAACGGCAGCACGGGUGCUUGCACCUGGUGGCGAGUGGCGAACGGGUGAGUAAUACAUCGGAACAUGUCCUGUAGUGGGGGAUAGCCCGGCGAAAGCCGGAUUAAUACCGCAUACGAUCUACGGAUGAAAGCGGGGGCCCUUCGGGCCUCGCGCUAUAGGGUUGGCCGAUGACUGAUUAGCUAGUUGGUGGGGUAAAGGCCUACCAAGGCGACGAUCAGUAGCUGGUCUGAGAGGACGACCAGCCACACUGGGACUGAGACACGGCCCAGACUCCUACGGGAGGCAGCAGUGGGGAAUUUUGGACAAUGGGCGAAAGCCUGAUCCAGCAAUGCCGCGUGUGUGAAGAAGGCCUUCGGGUUGUAAAGCACUUUUGUCCGGAAAGAAAUCCUUGGCCCUAAUACGGUCGGGGGAUGACGGUACCGGAAGAAUAAGCACCGGCUAACUACGUG
Molecule: ribosomal RNA, 486 nt
Filed under: uncultured bacterium
Lineage: Bacteria
Description: partial 16S ribosomal RNA
Rfam family: Bacterial small subunit ribosomal RNA
Source: RNAcentral